RNAcentral lists this long non-coding RNA (792 nucleotides) under Ficedula albicollis (Collared flycatcher). Its description in RNAcentral is "lncRNA (ENSFALG00000023617.1)". Lineage: Eukaryota; Metazoa; Chordata; Aves; Passeriformes; Muscicapidae. The record is from RNAcentral.
UGCCUUCAUCACCCUGGCAGUCCAAAGCCCUGAGGCUCCUGCUGGUGCUCCCCAUGCAAGAAGCAGUGCCUUUGGACAGUGUGAACACUCACCAGCAAAGGAAGCUGGAAAAUUCGGGGUAGCCUAACUCUUGCCUUUUGGGGGAAGCUGAAGCAUCACCCUUCAGUCCUGCUUCCUGCUGCAGGCACCGCCUGCCACUCACGUGAAGCACUGGUUUGGUGACAGCCAUGGAGCUGGGACUGUAGGACAUUUACCCCUUUAGAAAAUGGGGUGGCUUUGAUGGAGAGAAUCAGAUGUGCCUUCAGUGCAGCCCUGCUCUGGACAGCUGGUGGUUUGCAGAAGGGCAGAGGUGACAGCAGCAGAGGAGGGGACAGGCUCACAGGUCAGCACUCAGCAAGAAGAUCUGGUACAAGGCACCACCGACCAAGUCUUAAUGAUCUUUCAACAGCUGCUGUGGUUGCCUCUCUGUCCACACAACAGAAAAAUACAAUACAGAAACCUUCUACUUUGACAUUUCCAUCAGGAAUUAACUUCCCUGUAUGCCUGCCCUUUGCUAACUUCCCACUUGUGUUGAGUUUGCUUCAAAGAGUAAACAGGGAGCCGUUCCCAGAAGCACAAGCUCUCUUCAUGAAAUCCACUCUACAAGCUAAAGAGUCUUUGACAACACAGGUGGCAAGGAGGUGGGGAAAAAAGCUUCUUUGCAAGGGUCAUAUUGAUUUUUUAAUAGAAAAGAAACAGAGACAUUGUUGCACUCAAAUUUCUCCAGAGGGCAGGACGCCGGUCUGGAGUUGA